This 467-nucleotide ribosomal RNA is filed under the name uncultured bacterium. Its description in RNAcentral is "partial 16S ribosomal RNA". It matches the Rfam family "Bacterial small subunit ribosomal RNA", at positions 28 to 506 of the family's 1533-position model. The record is from RNAcentral.
GACGAACGCUGGCGGCGUGCUUAACACAUGCAAGUCGAACGGAAAGGCCCUGCUUUUGUGGGGUGCUCGAGUGGCGAACGGGUGAGUAACACGUGAGUAACCUGCCCUUGACUUUGGGAUAACUUCAGGAAACUGGGGCUAAUACCGGAUAGGAGCUCUUGCUGCAUGGUGGGGGUUGGAAAGUUUCGGCGGUUGGGGAUGGACUCGCGGCUUAUCAGCGUGUUGGUGGGGUAGUGGCUUACCAAGGCUUUGACGGGUAGCCGGCCUGAGAGGGUGACCGGCCACAUUGGGACUGAGAUACGGCCCAGACUCCUACGGGAGGCAGCAGUGGGGAAUAUUGCACAAUGGGCGGAAGCCUGAUGCAGCAACGCCGCGUGCGGGAUGACGGCCUUCGGGUUGUAAACCGCUUUCGCCUGUGACGAAGCGUGAGUGACGGUAAUGGGUAAAGAAGCACCGGCUAACUACGU